Molecule: long non-coding RNA, 282 nt
Organism: Mytilus trossulus (common blue mussel)
Lineage: Eukaryota; Metazoa; Mollusca; Bivalvia; Mytilida; Mytilidae
Exons: 2
Source: RefSeq, a predicted model, not a curated record
AUUUUAUCAAAUCAUAUUUAUGAUACAGUUUGAUUAUUUUGUCCAAAUAUUAUUUAAAGAUAUUUCAAAAUAUUAUUUACUUCAUUCUAGUAAUUAGUGUACAGGUAAAAACUGUUCACUACAUUGUAUAAUUUUACUAUUGAUAAAUAACUGAUCGACAGGUGUAGUUGUGUCUCAGUUUUGUGAACAAGAAUAUUUGAAAAUUUAAGGUAGAUCUAUGUGAUUUUCAUACUAGAGGAUGAUAUUAUUGCAGUAAAAUUGUCUGCCAUUUCCUUAUUUAGG